This 530-nucleotide ribosomal RNA is filed under the name uncultured bacterium. Its description in RNAcentral is "bacterial SSU rRNA". It matches the Rfam family "Bacterial small subunit ribosomal RNA", at positions 8 to 525 of the family's 1533-position model. The record is from RNAcentral.
AGAGUUUGAUCCUGGCUCAGGACGAACGCUGGCGGCGCGCUUAACACAUGCAAGUCGAGCGAGAACCGGUCCUUCGGGACCGGGGAAAGCGGCGAACGGGUGAGUAACACGUGGGUAAUCCACCCUCGGCACCGGAAUAGCCCGGGGAAACCCGGAUUAAUGCCGGAUGGCCCAGCAGCUCUUCGGGGCGGUUGGAAAAGGUAGCUUCGGCCUCCGGCCGGGGACGAGCCCGCGGCGGAUUAGCUUGUUGGUGGGGUAACGGCCCACCAAGGCGACGAUCCGUAGCUGGUCUGAGAGGACGAUCAGCUACACUGGGACUGAGACACGGCCCAGACUCCUACGGGAGGCAGCAGUGGGGAAUCUUGCGCAAUGGGCGAAAGCCUGACGCAGCGACGCCGCGUGAGGGAAGAAGGCUUUCGGGUUGUAAACCUCUUUCAGGAGGGACGAAGCUACUCGGGUUAAUAGCCCAGAGGGUGACGGUACCUCCAGAAGAAGCCCCGGCUAACUACGUGCCAGCAGCCGCGGUAAUA